This 484-nucleotide ribosomal RNA is filed under the name uncultured bacterium. RNAcentral describes it as "partial 16S ribosomal RNA". It matches the Rfam family "Bacterial small subunit ribosomal RNA", at positions 30 to 507 of the family's 1533-position model. The record is from RNAcentral.
AUUGAACGCUGGCGGAAUGCUUUACACAUGCAAGUCGAACGGCAGCACGGGGUCAACCCUGGUGGCGAGUGGCGAACGGGUGAGUAAUACAUCGGAACGUGCCCGGUCGUGGGGGAUAACGUAGCGAAAGUUACGCUAAUACCGCAUACGAUCUGAGGAUGAAAGCGGGGGACCUUCGGGCCUCGCGCGAUCGGAGCGGCCGAUGUCAGAUUAGGUAGUUGGUGGGGUAAAGGCCUACCAAGCCGACGAUCUGUAGCUGGUCUGAGAGGACGACCAGCCACACUGGGACUGAGACACGGCCCAGACUCCUACGGGAGGCAGCAGUGGGGAAUUUUGGACAAUGGGCGCAAGCCUGAUCCAGCCAUUCCGCGUGAAGGACGAAGGCCUUCGGGUUGUAAACUGCUUUUGUAUGGAACGAAAAGGCUCUGGCUAAUACCUGGGGCUCAUGACGGUACCGGAAGAAUAAGCACCGGCUAACUACGUG